AGUGAAGCGGGAUGAGCUCAAAUUUAAAAUCUGGCUGGUUUUCUAGUCCGAAUUGUAGUUUAAAGAAGCGUUUUCGGUAGCAGCCUGGGUAUAAAUCCUUUGGAACAGGGUAUCAUAGAGGGUGAGAAUCCCGUCUUUGACCUGGUGCAUGCUACUAUGUGAUACGUUUUCAAAGAGUCGAGUUGUUUGGGAAUGCAGCUCAAAAUGGGUGGUAAAUUUCAUCUAAGGCUAAAUAUUGGCGAGAGACCGAUAGCGAACAAGUACCGUGAGGGAAAGAUGAAAAGAACUUUGAAAAGAGAGUUAAACAGUGCGUGAAAUUGUUGAAAGGGAAACGUUUGACACCAGUCAUGCGAAUGAAAAAUCAGUUAAUGCUAGUGGAGAGUGGUACGGGUUCAGACCGCAAGGCUGGCCUUUGCUUCAUCUCUGCUGUCAUUGAUGCACUUUUUCAUUUGCAGGUCAACAUCAGUUUUCCCUGCUGGACAAAACUCCAAGAGAAGGUAGCAGCUUAGGCUGUGUUAUAGCUCUGGAGCGAUACAGUGGGGGGGACUGAGGAUUUCGCAGUGUGUGCUCUCGGGCAAGGCUGACUGGGUGCUAUCGGAUCGUUCGGUGUACAAUGCAUGCAUUUUGCGCCGUGUCUUUCUUAUACUCGCUCAGCUCAGCUCUUCCACACUUAGGAUGUUGACUUAAUGGUUUUAAACGACCCGUCUUGAAACACGGACCAAGGAGUCUAACAUAUAUGCAAGUGUUUGGGUGGCAAACCCAUACGCGUAAUGAAAGUGAACGUAGGUGCGAUCCGCAAGGUGCAGCAUCGACCGAUCUUGAUAUUUUUGGAUAGAUUUGAGUAAGAGCAUAUAUGCUGGGACCCGAAAGAUGGUGAACUAUGCCUGAAUAGGGUGAAGCCAGAGGAAACUCUGGUGGAGGCUCGUAGCGAUUCUGACGUGCAAAUCGAUCGUCAAAUUUGGGUAUAGGGGCGAAAGACUAAUCGAACCAUCUAGAGCUGGAUCCUGCCGAAGUUCCCUCAGGAUAGCAGAACUCG
This 1036-nucleotide ribosomal RNA is filed under the name Dissophora ornata. Its description in RNAcentral is "eukaryotic LSU rRNA". It matches the Rfam family "Eukaryotic large subunit ribosomal RNA", at positions 92 to 990 of the family's 3401-position model. Lineage: Eukaryota; Fungi; Mortierellomycota; Mortierellomycetes; Mortierellales; Mortierellaceae. The record is from RNAcentral.